GGGUUGUGAGGUUAAGCGACUAAGCGUACACGGUGGAUGCCCUGGCAGUCAGAGGCGAUGAAGGACGUGCUAAUCUGCGAUAAGCGUCGGUAAGGUGAUAUGAACCGUUAUAACCGGCGAUUUCCGAAUGGGGAAACCCAGUGUGUUUCGACACACUAUCAUUAACUGAAUCCAUAGGUUAAUGAGGCGAACCGGGGGAACUGAAACAUCUAAGUACCCCGAGGAAAAGAAAUCAACCGAGAUUCCCCCAGUAGCGGCGAGCGAACGGGGAGGAGCCCAGAGCCUGAAUCAGUGUGUGUGUUAGUGGAAGCGUCUGGAAAGGCGCGCGAUACAGGGUGACAGCCCCGUACACAAAAAUGCACAUGCUGUGAGCUCGAUGAGUAGGGCGGGACACGUGGUAUCCUGUCUGAAUAUGGGGGGACCAUCCUCCAAGGCUAAAUACUCCUGACUGACCGAUAGUGAACCAGUACCGUGAGGGAAAGGCGAAAAGAACCCCGGCGAGGGGAGUGAAAAAGAACCUGAAACCGUGUACGUACAAGCAGUGGGAGCACGCUUAGGCGUGUGACUGCGUACCUUUUGUAUAAUGGGUCAGCGACUUAUAUUCUGUAGCAAGGUUAACCGAAUAGGGGAGCCGAAGGGAAACCGAGUCUUAACUGGGCGUUAAGUUGCAGGGUAUAGACCCGAAACCCGGUGAUCUAGCCAUGGGCAGGUUGAAGGUUGGGUAACACUAACUGGAGGACCGAACCGACUAAUGUUGAAAAAUUAGCGGAUGACUUGUGGCUGGGGGUGAAAGGCCAAUCAAACCGGGAGAUAGCUGGUUCUCCCCGAAAGCUAUUUAGGUAGCGCCUCGUGAAUUCAUCUCCGGGGGUAGAGCACUGUUUCGGCAAGGGGGUCAUCCCGACUUACCAACCCGAUGCAAACUGCGAAUACCGGAGAAUGUUAUCACGGGAGACACACGGCGGGUGCUAACGUCCGUCGUGAAGAGGGAAACAACCCAGACCGCCAGCUAAGGUCCCAAAGUCAUGGUUAAGUGGGAAACGAUGUGGGAAGGCCCAGACAGCCAGGAUGUUGGCUUAGAAGCAGCCAUCAUUUAAAGAAAGCGUAAUAGCUCACUGGUCGAGUCGGCCUGCGCGGAAGAUGUAACGGGGCUAAACCAUGCACCGAAGCUGCGGCAGCGACGCUUAUGCGUUGUUGGGUAGGGGAGCGUUCUGUAAGCCUGCGAAGGUGUGCUGUGAGGCAUGCUGGAGGUAUCAGAAGUGCGAAUGCUGACAUAAGUAACGAUAAAGCGGGUGAAAAGCCCGCUCGCCGGAAGACCAAGGGUUCCUGUCCAACGUUAAUCGGGGCAGGGUGAGUCGACCCCUAAGGCGAGGCCGAAAGGCGUAGUCGAUGGGAAACAGGUUAAUAUUCCUGUACUUGGUGUUACUGCGAAGGGGGGACGGAGAAGGCUAUGUUGGCCGGGCGACGGUUGUCCCGGUUUAAGCGUGUAGGCUGGUUUUCCAGGCAAAUCCGGAAAAUCAAGGCUGAGGCGUGAUGACGAGGCACUACGGUGCUGAAGCAACAAAUGCCCUGCUUCCAGGAAAAGCCUCUAAGCAUCAGGUAACAUCAAAUCGUACCCCAAACCGACACAGGUGGUCAGGUAGAGAAUACCAAGGCGCUUGAGAGAACUCGGGUGAAGGAACUAGGCAAAAUGGUGCCGUAACUUCGGGAGAAGGCACGCUGAUAUGUAGGUGAAGUCCCUCGCGGAUGGAGCUGAAAUCAGUCGAAGAUACCAGCUGGCUGCAACUGUUUAUUAAAAACACAGCACUGUGCAAACACGAAAGUGGACGUAUACGGUGUGACGCCUGCCCGGUGCCGGAAGGUUAAUUGAUGGGGUUAGCGCAAGCGAAGCUCUUGAUCGAAGCCCCGGUAAACGGCGGCCGUAACUAUAACGGUCCUAAGGUAGCGAAAUUCCUUGUCGGGUAAGUUCCGACCUGCACGAAUGGCGUAAUGAUGGCCAGGCUGUCUCCACCCGAGACUCAGUGAAAUUGAACUCGCUGUGAAGAUGCAGUGUACCCGCGGCAAGACGGAAAGACCCCGUGAACCUUUACUAUAGCUUGACACUGAACAUUGAGCCUUGAUGUGUAGGAUAGGUGGGAGGCUUUGAAGUGUGGACGCCAGUCUGCAUGGAGCCGACCUUGAAAUACCACCCUUUAAUGUUUGAUGUUCUAACGUUGACCCGUAAUCCGGGUUGCGGACAGUGUCUGGUGGGUAGUUUGACUGGGGCGGUCUCCUCCUAAAGAGUAACGGAGGAGCACGAAGGUUGGCUAAUCCUGGUCGGACAUCAGGAGGUUAGUGCAAUGGCAUAAGCCAGCUUGACUGCGAGCGUGACGGCGCGAGCAGGUGCGAAAGCAGGUCAUAGUGAUCCGGUGGUUCUGAAUGGAAGGGCCAUCGCUCAACGGAUAAAAGGUACUCCGGGGAUAACAGGCUGAUACCGCCCAAGAGUUCAUAUCGACGGCGGUGUUUGGCACCUCGAUGUCGGCUCAUCACAUCCUGGGGCUGAAGUAGGUCCCAAGGGUAUGGCUGUUCGCCAUUUAAAGUGGUACGCGAGCUGGGUUUAGAACGUCGUGAGACAGUUCGGUCCCUAUCUGCCGUGGGCGCUGGAGAACUGAGGGGGGCUGCUCCUAGUACGAGAGGACCGGAGUGGACGCAUCACUGGUGUUCGGGUUGUCAUGCCAAUGGCACUGCCCGGUAGCUAAAUGCGGAAGAGAUAAGUGCUGAAAGCAUCUAAGCACGAAACUUGCCCCGAGAUGAGUUCUCCCUGACUCCUUGAGAGUCCUGAAGGAACGUUGAAGACGACGACGUUGAUAGGCCGGGUGUGUAAGCGCAGCGAUGCGUUGAGCUAACCGGUACUAAUGAACCGUGAGGCUUAACCUUACAACGCCGAAGGUGUUU
This 2931-nucleotide ribosomal RNA is filed under the name Escherichia coli. RNAcentral's name for it is "bacterial LSU rRNA". It matches the Rfam family "Bacterial large subunit ribosomal RNA". Lineage: Bacteria; Pseudomonadati; Pseudomonadota; Gammaproteobacteria; Enterobacterales; Enterobacteriaceae. The record is from RNAcentral.